GGAGGCUCCAGUGCAGGAGGGUUGUUCUGCAAGGCCUGAGUGAAGAGACGGUGUUUGAGCAGAGACCUGAAUGACGUGAAGAUAGUGUCUGACUGUAGACCUUCUCUCCAAGGAAACCCAGUGCAAGAAUCAAGCUCCCAACUACGGUGUGAGUGUUGACUCAGAGCAGAUGGUCCUCCUUCUGGUUACGUCCCGGGGAUUUACCCACACCACUGUGACUGCCAUCCAGCAAAGCUCCUGAUGGAAAAGCUUCAGCCCAGGAGUUCAGCUGGCUGUGCUCCAGUCGUGGUUCUUUGCCCCAUCAAGAAAAUGAACAGCCUCAAGCUAUCCCCCUGGGUAGAGUGCCAUGGCAUCACAGCUCACAGCAACCUCCAAAUCCUGCGCUCAAGCAAUUCUCCUGCCUCCGCCUCCCAAGUAGCUGGGGACGCCCACCUAUUUUUAGGGAUGGGGUCUUGCUCUUGCUCAGGCUGGUCUCCAACCAUGAGCUCAGGCAAUGUACCCACCUUGGCCUCCCAUAGUGCUGGGAUUAUAGGCGUGAGCCACUGCGCCCAGUUCUAAUUUAGUUCUUGUUUUCAAUUGUUUUUGUUAUUUAUUCAGAGGUGAAAUUGCUAUAUCAUGUAGUAAUCCUAUGUUUAAUUUCUGAGGAAUUAGCAUACUGUUUUCCUUAGCAGCUGUACCAUUUUACUUUCUAACCAUUGAUGCACAAGGGUUUCUGUUUAUCCAUAUCCUCAUCAACACUUGUUAUUUUAUUUUUUUUAAUAAUAGCUUUCUCAAUGAGUAUAAGGUGAUGUCUCCAAGUGAUUGUGAUUGUAUUUCUUUACUGAUUUCUUCACUGGUCAUUUUAUAUCUUCUUUGGAGAUAUGUCUAUUCAAGUCCUUUGCCCAUUAAAACAAUUUUAAUGCUAGAUUUAAAUUCCUGGGCUCAAGCUAAACUCCUGCCUCAGCCUUCCAAGUACCUGAAACUAUAGAACUUAAAUGAGAGUGACCACCCACUUUUUGCCCAUUUUUUGAAUUGAAUUGUUUGUUUUGUGUUGUUGUCUUGUCAGAGUUUAAAAAAUAUAUAUAUAGAGAGAGGAAAUUAAUCCCUUAAACGAAUAAUUGGCAAACGUUUUUCUCUCCCUCUGUAGUUGGCUGUGUUAGUUAGCUACAGCAAAAUGCCAUAGAUUGGGUGGCUUAUGCGACAGAAAUUUAUUUUCUCCCAUAUAUUUUCCCAGUUCUGGAGCCUAGAAAGUCUAAGAUCUGCUUGGCUUGACUCCUGCUGAGGAUUUUUUUCCUGGCUUGUCAGCAACCACUGUCUUGCCUUAGAUCAGCAGUACGCAACUUUUUGGCACCAGGGACCAGUUUCACGUGAGACAAUUUUUCUGGGAGAAGGGUGAGUGUGGAGGGAAUGGCUUUGACAUGUGUCUGUAAGCAACUGACUUAGUACGGUCUCCGCUAAUGAUCAUGUGUAUUUGUAGCUGCUCCCCGGUGCUGGCGUCACUGUCUCAGCUGCACCUCAGAUCGUCAGGCAUUAGGUUUGCAUAAAGAGUGAAACCUGGAUCCCUCACAUGCUCCUGUGAGACUCCAACACCAUCACUGAUCUGAUAGCAGGCGGAGCUCUGGUCAUGCUGAGGAGCUUGGGAGCCGCUGUAAAUAAAAAUGAAGUUCUUCUCACCUCCUGCUGUGCAGUCCUGUUCCUAACAGGCCAUGGACCAGCCCAAUCUGUGCCACUCUGUCUCAAUAAAGAAAAAAAAAAAUUCUCCAAAUGGAGAGGAGAUGGAACAUUUAAUCCAUUGUGAGCAGUCUCAGGCCUCCAAAGGUUGACUAAACACCUGUCUAGUCCCAUUGUGACCUCCAGAAACUCAUUCAGAUUCCAGGGCCAUUUUUUUUUAAUCUCUAAGUUCUCAUUUAAUUCUAAUUUCUAUUUAGAUUGAUUAUAGAACUAACACUCAAGUUUUUCUUUCUUCUUCUUUUUUUUUUUUUUGAGACAGAGCCUCAAGCUAUCCCCCUGGGUAGAGUGCCAUGGCUUCACAGCUCAC
Long non-coding RNA from Nycticebus coucang (slow loris), 2017 nucleotides. RefSeq lists it as uncharacterized. NCBI's taxonomy places the organism in Eukaryota, Metazoa, Chordata, Mammalia, Primates, Lorisidae. The record is from RefSeq and is a predicted model, not a curated record. The transcript has 3 exons.